This 501-nucleotide ribosomal RNA is filed under the name uncultured bacterium. Its description in RNAcentral is "partial 16S ribosomal RNA". It matches the Rfam family "Bacterial small subunit ribosomal RNA", at positions 30 to 523 of the family's 1533-position model. The record is from RNAcentral.
AUUGAACGCUGGCGGCAGGCUUAACACAUGCAAGUCGAGCGGGGGAAGGUAGCUUGCUACCGGACCUAGCGGCGGACGGGUGAGUAAUGCUUAGGAAUCUGCCUAUUAGUGGGGGACAACAUCUCGAAAGGGAUGCUAAUACCGCAUACGUCCUACGGGAGAAAGCAGGGGAUCUUCGGACCUUGCGCUAAUAGAUGAGCCUAAGUCGGAUUAGCUAGUUGGUGGGGUAAAGGCCUACCAAGGCGACGAUCUGUAGCGGGUCUGAGAGGAUGAUCCGCCACAAUGGGACUGAGGCACGGACCAGACUCCGACGGGAGGCAGCAGUGGGGAAUAUUGGACAAUGGGGGGAACCCUGAUCCAGCCAUGCCGCGUGUGUGAAGAAGGCCUUAUGGUUGUAAAGCACUUUAAGCGAGGAGGAGGCUACUCUAGUUAAUACCUAGGGAUAGUGGACGUUACUCGCAGAAUAAGCACCGGCUAACUCUGUGCCAGCCGCCGCGGUAA